Molecule: long non-coding RNA, 2147 nt
Organism: Zea mays
Lineage: Eukaryota; Viridiplantae; Streptophyta; Magnoliopsida; Poales; Poaceae
Exons: 3
Source: RefSeq, a predicted model, not a curated record
CGACGUAUAGGGGAAACGAAUCGCCGCAGCCGCGUGGGAUGCGAUCGCCUUCUUUCGCCCAAUCCUGCGUGCGUGCCGCCGCCGCCGUGGACGGGCAGACGGCUGGACGCAUUCGCCAGGCGCCAGCUCGUUCGGUCUUUCCUCUCUGCCUGAAUCGCCAGAUCGCUAUCUCACUGAUCGCCACGACGGCACACAGUUCUGUUCCUGAAUCGCUGCUACUGCUAGCCUGCUGCUGGACGCCUGAACUGGACAGGCUGUGUUCCAAAUUCCAAUACUAACGGUUGAUCUUGAUAUAUUUUAAGUCUGAAUUUUCCCAAACUAUCUUACUCCGGGACCAAAUAAUUAUGAAAUUGACUCUACUUUGAAACAAAUAGAAGAUAUAAUGCAAUACUUUGAGACAUAUAGAACUGAGGGGUUUUCGUCUAGCUUGAUCAUUGCCAAAGGUAUUGGAGAUAAAAUGGGUGUGGAGGCUUCAUUUCCUGUAAAGCGUCGUGCAAUAAGAAAGAAAGAAUUUGAUGAAAGUAAUUGUCAAGAGGAAAUUCUUGAAGCUGAGAGGGCUUUUGAAGUGAAAUAUUUUUUGGUUAUGGUUGACAUGGCGAUCACUUCUUUGAAGACCAGAUUUGAAGAACUCAUGAUAUUUAAAGAUAUAUUUGGAUUUUUACUGAGCUCAAACACCCUGAAGUUGUUAAAUGAUAAUGAACUUGAAGAGUGUUGCAUUAAAUUUGCUAAGACUUUCUCCCAUGAUGGUUCAUCUAAUGUUGAGGUACAUGAUCUUAUUUCUGAAUUGAAGAUUAUGAAAUUCACUUUGCCAGAUGGAGUAUUGUCUGCUAAAGAGAUUUUUGAGCAUGUCAUAGAGGUGAAUUGCUAUCCUAAUGUCUCCAUUGCAUAUCGAAUCUUAUUUACUGUGCAUGUGACUGUUGCAUCUGCCGAAAGAAGCUUUUCAAAGCUGAAAUUGUUGAAAAACUAUUUGAGAUCAACAAUGACUCAAGAAAGGUUGAAUCAUUUGGCGACUUUAUGCAUCGAGAAGAAAUUAUUAGAUGAGAUUGAUAUCAACACUAUUAUUGAUGACUUUGUAUCGCAAAAUGUUAGAAGAAACUUGUCAACUUGAUAUCAAGUACAACUUCAAGCCAUGCCGUAAUGCCAAACAAAUUGCUUCUGUGAUAAAGAACAAAUGGCAAUGACGAUUGGCUGAAGUAUUGGUCCCAUCACAAAAUACUCGUGGUUGAGAAAAAAAUGACAAGGUGGGUAGGAUGUUGAAUAGGUAUCUUUGGCUACCAUGAGAAAAAAUGCCUUUAAAUGCAAACCUUCUUUCCAAGAUACUCUUAUCUCAAAGAAUUUGGAGAAGGCGUAUAGACUCGACGACGCUUCGCUAAGGCGAACGUGAUCAUAGUGAGAAGUACUUGAGAACUUAGUGAGGACGAGUGUGUGAUUUUUCAAAUUCGGCCACUUCAGCGAAGCUAGGCUCCGAUUCGGUUCCUUAGAAAAAAAAUGUUGGAUCAAAAUAAUACAAAUUUUCUGAUUUUGAACUUCCUUGGAAUCGGCAUUGCAAAACGGAUGCCUGACACGUGAUCACCAGUCAGGUACACAAAACGGUCAUGGAACACCAGAAUCUAAUCUAAUAUGUUUCGUAAAUAACAAGCAGCCUCUGAACUUGUUUCAUUAAUAACGAGCAAAACUUCGAACUUUACUUGAUAAUCACAGAGAAGUAAAUGAGCAUGUGAUCUAAUGAUAUGUUACAUUAACAACGAGCAAGCAUUUAGAUACUCCGGUAUAGAAAUCACACAGCGCGGAACGUUCACACCGCGUGUCCAUUUCUACACCAUAUUUUUUUUUUCUUUUCUCCAGUAUAGAACUUAUUAUACGUUUUAAGGCAAAAGAAUUGAUCAAAUAUAAAGAUAAUUUUUCUUUUAUUUUACAACCCAUGAAGAUGUUUCUUGCUUCAAGCAUCCCUAAAUAGGGUACGAAACACCGACUUAUCCAUUAUGCUACAUAGAUCCUCAAAAAGCGGAAACCAAUUUCACAUUCCUUGGUUCGGAUAUGCAUUCGGAAUAAAAAAACACCGAAGAUUUGAACAGAAUGGAAGAAACAUGUGGACAGCCCUUGUUGCCAGCAUCUCUUAUGCAUAAUGAUACAAUGCUCUACCUGCA